RNAcentral lists this long non-coding RNA (2128 nucleotides) under Homo sapiens (human). RNAcentral's name for it is "non-protein coding lnc-NECTIN1-3:1". Lineage: Eukaryota; Metazoa; Chordata; Mammalia; Primates; Hominidae. The record is from RNAcentral.
ACCUGAACGGCAGCUUUAGGAGAUCCUGAGCGAGAACCCUGCUGACCUGAGCUUGGACUCCUGACCCCAGCCAAGCCAGGCAUUAUGUCAACUGCCUCCAGGAGGGUGUCCCACUCCCACCUUCCACAGUGGAGCACCUUAGCACCCAGUUCAGAGGCCUGCCCUCUGCCCUUCCUCCUCUUGGCCAACAUGGCAAAACCCUGUCUUACCAAGGGGCAAAGGGAAGGUGUGUGGGUGGAGCAAGAAGGCAGAUUUCAGGAUGGGACAACUGAGGCAGCUGGAGAAAGACAGUUUGGUGCCAUAGAAAAAGCCCUGAGAGAAAGCAGCCCAGGUCUCAUCCCAGCUGGGACACUCCCUUGGGGUAAAUCACCUAACCUCCCUGAACCUCAGUAUCUUCAUCUAUAAAAUAGAGAAAAUAAUAUUCCCACCACAUAGGGUUCUUGUGGAAAACAAAGGGGAUGAUAUACAGGAGAGCUCACUGAAAAGGAAAUGCUGGCCGGGCGUGGUGGCUCAUACCUCUAAUCUCAGCACUUUGGGAGGUCGAGGUGGGUGGAUCACUUGAGGUCAGGAGUUCGAGACCAGCCUGGCCAACAUGGUGAAACCCCAUCUCCACUGAAAACACAAAACAAUUAGCCAGGUGUGGUGGCAUGUGUCUGUAAUUCCAGCUACUCGGGAGGCUGAGGCAGGAGGAUCCCUUGAACCCGGGAGGCAGAGGUUGCAGUGAGCCAAGAUUGUGCCACUGUACUCCAGCUUGGGUGACAGAGCAAAACUCCAUCAAAAACAAAGAAAGGAAGGAAGGAAGGAAGGGAGAGAGAAAGAAAAGAAAAGAAAAGGAAAUGCUAAACAGAGGUCAGUCCAGGUUGUGAAGGGAUGAAGCUGGAGCCUGUGACGGUAUGAGCCACCAGGGAGUGGUGGCCAGGGGCAGCUGGGCUAGGCAGCAGGACCAAACUCUCCCUCCCAGCAGACAGAGGUGGUGGGAGGGGGGGCCUUGCUGAGAUUGUCAUGUGGGUCUGGCCCCAUUCCCUACCUUGAGGUCUACAGGGGCUCAAGACUUUGGGGGAGUCUCUUCCCAUAGUGUUUCUCAGCCUUCACAACUGAAGGAGCAGGCAGAGAUUAGGCAGGGGGUACCUCGGGGCCAUAAACACCCCAGCCCGACCCCACUCACCUGGGCCUUUCUGAUGAGCAGCUUUAGAACUUGCUAUGCUCCAAGUGCUGUGCCAAGACCUGGAGGGAAACAUCACAUGCUCCAUGCCGCCAAGUUGCCUGCAGUUUGGUGGGGGAGACAGGUAAGCAAAUCAUGUCACCUCAAUGCAUAGUGGGAGGCUAUGCAGGACAGGACACCCAGAGAAUAACAAUAGCUCAUAUUUACUGAGCAGGCACCCUGUGCCAGGAAUUGCGCUAAUCCUUUCUAUAACUAUGCUGGGCCUUUAGGGUCCACUGGUGCCUGGGGAUGGGGCAGAGGCCAAAAAGUAGCAUGCAUUACUGUAUCCCUCACUGCCCAUCCCUGUUGGCCAGGGGCACCCUCUCACCUAGCCUGGGGGCAAGGGCUGCUGCAAAGCUUCCGGGGGCCCCUGGGAAGCUCCCAGUGUACAGAGAAGAUGGAGCUGGGCUGUGCUCAGGCUGUGGAUGUGGUGGAGCAAGGAGCCCAGCCGGCUCUGCCUCCUCCUCAGCUGAAAGCCCAGCUCGGAACACAAUGUCUCCAAAAAGAGAAAAAAACCCUUAAAUCCCACUGUUUGUCUUUGGAGCCUGGGAAGCGAGGAUCUAGUGAACAUAAAACGUGCGGGCUGCUCAGAAGUUGCCUUUGAAACCUCCCCAGGCCGGCUUUGUCAAGGAGCAGCAUUGCCUUUCAAAGCUGCUGGGCUCCAAUCUGCCCUCUCCCCUCUCCCCGCUUAACCGUAGCAGGCAGCGGCUAAUCAGUGGGAGAUGUUAAACGCUCCCUAAUUCACAGAAGUCCCCAGGCUUCUGGGGAACUGGUAGCAGGGCCGGUGAGCUGGGUGCCUCCAUUCCUGCUCGCCCCACCUCACGCCAGCCUCACCUCAGCCCGGUCCCCUCUGAAGGCUUCUCCUCUACGUGAAGCUCACCCCUCCUCCCUCAUGCUGGCCUGUGCUCAACCCACCUCUGCUUCCCA